CUGUCGUUUUCUUGUCAACUAACCAUAAUGAGAUAUUUUCUUCAAGCUUGAAACCGAAGAAUCAUAAUGUAUCUCUUACCUAAGCCUCAGUUAGGCCCGACCUAUCGUCCAUCAUCUUAUAAAUUAAUUUAUUUUGUCUGAAACAUCGAAACAAUUUUAAAGCAGAAAUUAAAGUGAAAAAUGGAAAUGAUUCCCAUAUUGAUGAAAACUUGAAAAGUCGGAAUAAUUCGUUGGUCCCUCCAUUAACUAACGUGAAUUAUUGCAAAUGGGACCGUACUAAAAUUUGGGUGUGGUUUCGAUAUAUAGUACCAAAAAAGGUUAAAAAGUAAAACUUAAUUAAAAGAAAUAAAUUGUGUUUGUGUGUGUCGUCGGUGUCGAAGGAUGUUUGGGAACCAAGUGGGGUUAAUUUCAAAGAUUUACAAAAAUGGAAAGUCUUUGGACCGCAAAACGUAUGGACAUCGUACCUAAGUUCCUGACUCCUUACUAUAUUUGUACAUUAACGUGUUCCCCUUUGUCCCUUUUUUGUCAUCUCCU
Arabidopsis thaliana (thale cress) is the source of this 534-nucleotide long non-coding RNA. RefSeq annotates it as other RNA. The record is from RefSeq. The transcript has a single exon. Lineage: Eukaryota; Viridiplantae; Streptophyta; Magnoliopsida; Brassicales; Brassicaceae.